RNAcentral lists this ribosomal RNA (253 nucleotides) under uncultured bacterium. Its description in RNAcentral is "partial 16S ribosomal RNA". It matches the Rfam family "Bacterial small subunit ribosomal RNA", at positions 524 to 776 of the family's 1533-position model. The record is from RNAcentral.
UACGUAGGGUGCGAGCGUUAAUCGGAAUUACUGGGCGUAAAGCGUGCGCAGGCGGUUUUGCAAGACAGAUGGGAAAUCCCCGGGCUUAACCUGGGAACUGCAUUUGUGACUGCAAGGCUAGAGUGUGUCAGAGGGAGGUGGAAUUCCGCGUGUAGCAGUGAAAUGCGUAGAGAUGCGGAGGAACACCGAUGGCGAAGGCAGCCUCCUGGGAUAACACUGACGCUCAUGCACGAAAGCGUGGGGAGCAAACAGG